CGAACGUGGGUAACCUGCCUUAUAGUGGGGGAUAGCCUUUCGAAAGGAAGAUUAAUACCGCAUAAGAUUGUAGUAUCGCAUGAUAUAGCAAUUAAAGGAGCAAUUCGCUAUAAGAUGGACCCGCGUCGCAUUAGCUAGUUGGUGAGGUAAUGGCUCACCAAGGCGACGAUGCGUAGCCGACCUGAGAGGGUGAUCGGCCACAUUGGGACUGAGACACGGCCCAGACUCCUACGGGAGGCAGCAUG
RNAcentral lists this ribosomal RNA (245 nucleotides) under uncultured bacterium. Its description in RNAcentral is "partial 16S ribosomal RNA". It matches the Rfam family "Bacterial small subunit ribosomal RNA", at positions 112 to 353 of the family's 1533-position model. The record is from RNAcentral.